This 253-nucleotide ribosomal RNA is filed under the name uncultured bacterium. Its description in RNAcentral is "partial 16S ribosomal RNA". It matches the Rfam family "Bacterial small subunit ribosomal RNA", at positions 524 to 776 of the family's 1533-position model. The record is from RNAcentral.
UACAGAGGGGGCAAGCGUUGUUCGGAAUUACUGGGCGUAAAGGGCGCGUAGGCGGCCGCCUAAGUCAGACGUGAAAUCCCUCGGCUCAACCGGGGAACUGCGUCUGAUACUGGGUGGCUUGAAUCCGGGAGAGGGAUGCGGAAUUCCAGGUGUAGCGGUGAAAUGCGUAGAUAUCUGGAGGAACACCGGUGGCGAAGGCGGUUCUCUGGGCAUUACCUGACGCUGAGGAGCGAAAGUGUGGGGAGCGAACAGG